CCUACGGGGGGCAGCAGUGGGGAAUAUUGGACAAUGGGCGAAAGCCUGAUCCAGCCAUGCCGCGUGUGUGAAGAAGGCCUUUUGGUUGUAAAGCACUUUAAGCGAGGAGGCGUUACUCGCAGAAUAAGCACUGGCUAACUCUGUGCCAGCAGCCGCGGUAAUACAGAGGGUGCGAGCGUUAAUCGGAUUUACUGGGCGUAAAGCGUGCGUAGGCGGCUUCUUAAGUCGGAUGUGAAAUCCCUGAGCUUAACUUAGGAAUUGCAUUCGAUACUGGGAAGCUAGAGUAUGGGAGAGGAUGGUAGAAUUCCAGGUGUAGCGGUGAAAUGCGUAGAGAUCUGGAGGAAUACCGAUGGCGAAGGCAGCCAUCUGGCCUAUCUGACGCUGAGGUACGAAAGCAUGGGGAGCAAACAGGAUUAGAUACCCUUGUAGUC
RNAcentral lists this ribosomal RNA (431 nucleotides) under uncultured bacterium. RNAcentral's name for it is "partial 16S ribosomal RNA". It matches the Rfam family "Bacterial small subunit ribosomal RNA", at positions 338 to 795 of the family's 1533-position model. The record is from RNAcentral.